RNAcentral lists this ribosomal RNA (465 nucleotides) under uncultured bacterium. RNAcentral's name for it is "partial 16S ribosomal RNA". It matches the Rfam family "Bacterial small subunit ribosomal RNA", at positions 28 to 507 of the family's 1533-position model. The record is from RNAcentral.
GACGAACGCUGGCGGCGUGCUUAACACAUGCAAGUCGAACGGAAAGGCCCUUCUUGCAGGGUACUCGAGUGGCGAACGUGUGAAUAACACGUGGAUGAUCUGCCCUGCACUUCGGGAUAAGCCUGGGAAACUGGGUCUAAUACCUGAUAUGAGCCAUUUUUAGUGUGGUGGUUGGAAAGUUUUUUCGGUGUAGGAUGAGCUCGCGGCCUAUCAUCUUUUUGGUGGGGUAAUGGCCUACCACGGCGGCGACGGGAAGCAGGCCUGAGAGUGUGGACGGCCACAUUGGGACCGAGAUACGGCCAAGACUCCGAAGGGAGGCAGAAGUGGGGAAUAUUGCACAAUGGGCGCAAGCCUGAUGCAGAGACGCCGCGUGGGGGAUGAUGGCUUUCGGGUGGUCAACUAGUUUCGUUAGGGAAGAAGAUUUUCAUGACGGUACCUAGAUAAGAAGCACCGGCUAACUACGUG